AGAUGAUACCUCUGGAGAAGCG
This 22-nucleotide microRNA is filed under the name Drosophila yakuba. RNAcentral's name for it is "Dya-Mir-967_5p (mature (guide))". The record is from RNAcentral. Lineage: Eukaryota; Metazoa; Arthropoda; Insecta; Diptera; Drosophilidae.